RNAcentral lists this transfer RNA (71 nucleotides) under Loxodonta africana (African savanna elephant). It matches the Rfam family "tRNA". Rfam says of the family: Transfer RNA (tRNA) molecules are approximately 80 nucleotides in length. Their secondary structure includes four short double-helical elements and three loops (D, anti-codon, and T loops). The record is from Rfam by way of RNAcentral. Lineage: Eukaryota; Metazoa; Chordata; Mammalia; Proboscidea; Elephantidae.
CCAUUGGUGGUUCAGUGGUAGAAUUCUUGCUUUCCAUGUAGGAGGCCCGGGUUUAAUUCCCGGCCAAUGUA